Thunnus maccoyii (southern bluefin tuna) is the source of this 1749-nucleotide long non-coding RNA. RefSeq lists it as uncharacterized. The record is from RefSeq and is a predicted model, not a curated record. The transcript is spliced from 3 exons. Lineage: Eukaryota; Metazoa; Chordata; Actinopteri; Scombriformes; Scombridae.
UCUAUAGUUUCCUUAUUUAACUCAUUUUCAUUUGUUAAUCAAUCUGUCAAUGACUUAUUUUACACACACAGUCCUUAUUUGUCAUAUCAACUAGAGCAAACUUAUGAUUGGUUAGAGGGAGUUAAGUCCCACCCUCUGUUUACGCAGAAGUCAGUGAGUUGCAGUGCGGGUAAAACAGCAGCGGUCGGAGUGGAUGAGAAAUAGAGAGUUAGAAGAGCGAUUAUUAACAUAUCCAUGAGAUAAAAUAGUCUUGUGAAGACGUCAGAGGUGUGCGAGGGUCCGUGAGCCAGGAGUAGUAGUACUUUUGGCAUUAUCGUCUUGGCUGGGUUUUUUUGAGAACAAGAGAACUGGAUCUGGAUUCUCCCUGUGGAUGGGAGAUGGCGAGCCCCCAGUGAGAUCCCUUCUUAACCUAAGGAGUGAGGAACCGAGACCUGAGAAGAGGACCUGGUAUCUUUUUUUGCUUCCACUCAAGUAUCAGUGUGGUAGGACCACCACACAUCCGACUACUUGAAUUUUUCCCCCUGACUUGACAUAAAACAUUGACUUGAGCGCACUGACUGAUAUGGCAAAGACAUUAACGGGACAUUGCACUCUAAAUUCUGCUGAAAGACUGUGAAAUCUUGAGAUAUUGAUGAUAAUUGCACUGCAUUUUAUGUUCAUGUUUUAUAACUUGGUACAGUAAACUUACCUCAAAUGUUCCUCGUGGCUCCAUUUACCUGUUUUGUCUGCCAUUCCCUUUUCAACCCUCCCAUUACGAACCUAGCCCCUGGUCCAUAUAUUCUUUAUUCUUUACCCUGUAGCACCUAGUGGGUUACAUACUCAAUAACAGGUGGUGUGCCAUUGACAAGUUAAAGAGUGAUGUGGCGAAAAUCUCAAUCAAGUGUGCCCUGCGCAGUGCGUCGGGACGUGCCCAGCGCACUUUAGUGGAUUGAUGGAAAUCUGGCCGGGCGCACCUGAACCGCAACUGGACAACUGGACAACCUGUGGAGAAAAAAAGAAGCGGAUGAAAGAAGGAAAUAGCAAAUAUUCAGGCUCUGAAACUCCCAUGGAGCCAGAGCCUCCCGUACCAGCAGCGAUUAAACAGAGUUGGCCAGGUCUGCGCGCUGGUAGGGCCCCCAGGUGUCACCGACAGAUUAAACUCAGCGGCUUCACCUGGAGGUAACGAGAAGCAUCGAGGAGACUCCUCGUUAACAGCCAGAUGACUGGAGGAGUUCCUGUUCACAACCUAAGGUCUGAGCCUUGAUGGCGUUAUGGAUGACGUCAAAUGACCACUGCUGUCAACUGAGAACUGAUGACACAUCAAUAUGGACAUCCUUUGUGUUUGUUUUAUUGAAUGUUUGUGGUGACGUCAUCUAUCAUGCCAGGGCUAUGUGACACCACAGAGGAUGUCCAUAAUGAUGUCCCAUCAGUUCUCAGUUGACAGCAGUGCUUAUUUGACGUCAUGAAUGACAGCUUGAAGGCUUUGACCCGAGUUUGUAAAUAGGACCCCCUUCUGCCAUCAAUCUCCAAUCCACACACCCUCACAGGAGACGUGGAGGCUCUGAUGCACUGCAGCACCAUGGCAGCCCACGCCUGGGCCCACGUCUGCAGCUGAGGGGAGUCCUCGAUAGCCACCAGGUGUCAUGCAUGGCUGAGCUCAAGCUGGCGGUGCACCGCUGAACUCAAGCUGGCGGUGCAUGACGCUUUGGGGCCCUGCCAGUGCAUAGACCUGGCCCAGUCUGUCGUGCUGGUAUGGGAGGCCCUGGGUGC